CCUACGGGUGGCAGCAGUGAGGAAUAUUGGUCAAUGGACGAGAGUCUGAACCAGCCAAGCAGCGUGAAGGAUGACUGCCCUAUGGGUUGUAAACUUCUUUUAUAUGGGAAUAAAAUGUUCCACGUGUGGGAUUUUGUAUGUACCAUAUGAAUAAGGAUCGGCUAACUCCGUGCCAGCAGCCGCGGUAAUACGGAGGAUCCGAGCGUUAUCCGGAUUUAUUGGGUUUAAAGGGAGCGUAGGUGGAUUGUUAAGUCAGUUGUGAAAGUUUGCGGCUCAACUGUAAAAUUGCAGUUGAAACUGGCAGGCUUGAGUACAGUAGAGGUAGGCGGAAUUCGUGGUGUAGCGGUGAAAUGCUUAGAUAUCACGAAGAACACCGGUUGCGAAGGCAGCUCACUGGACUGCAACUGACACUGAGGCUCGAAAGUGUGGGUAUCAAACAGGAGUAGAUACCCUAGUAGUC
Molecule: ribosomal RNA, 460 nt
Filed under: uncultured bacterium
Lineage: Bacteria
Description: partial 16S ribosomal RNA
Rfam family: Bacterial small subunit ribosomal RNA
Source: RNAcentral